This 87-nucleotide small RNA is filed under the name Bacillus gobiensis. RNAcentral describes it as "BsrC". It matches the Rfam family "BsrC". From Rfam's summary of the family: The 301 nucleotide sequence from Kouji Nakamura has been trimmed to a highly conserved ~85 nucleotide long core to form this family. Lineage: Bacteria; Bacillati; Bacillota; Bacilli; Caryophanales; Bacillaceae. The record is from Rfam by way of RNAcentral.
UAUACCUAAAACAAUGAAAGCCCUACCUCUCUUCCAUCCUUACGGCUCCUUGUCCGUGCCAGUGUGAAUCGGUAUUACAAAUAUCAA